Oppia nitens is the source of this 606-nucleotide long non-coding RNA. RefSeq lists it as uncharacterized. The record is from RefSeq and is a predicted model, not a curated record. NCBI's taxonomy places the organism in Eukaryota, Metazoa, Arthropoda, Arachnida, Sarcoptiformes, Oppiidae. The transcript is spliced from 3 exons.
AUAAAGUUUUGUGGCCUAACUCGCGUACACCGUUUCCAUAGAGAGCUUCUAUAGCCCUGUCCUGUGUAAACAAUGGAAAUGUCUUAUAAUUGGUAAAGUCAUGUCUGAGGGAAUGGUGUGUAUUUUCGCCCAUACCGUACACAUUGCCGGUCGGCAAACGGGCAAAUUAGACCACCUAUUGAUUUUUCGUCGACUUUCGCUGUAUUGAAAAACUAAAAUCCUGUUUAUCAUCGCUAAUGUCGACACUGUAUUGAAGUUUUUUCGGAUCAAUUGGUUCAGUCUUAUCCAUCAAAAGCGGAAAGUUUUGCUGAACAGGAACCUCGUAUCGUCUGGACUUCGGAUCAACCAGUUUUACCCGAACUAUACGAUCGGUCAGAUAUGUCCAUUCAAACCGUACGGAUUCAAUUUGUGGCGACUUUUUCAAUACCCGGCGAGCCGUAUGUUUCAGCGACAGAUCUAACUGUCCACCAGUUGAUGUAUUGCUGCGGACAUCCCCUACCCGUCUAUAGCCAACACGAUUCCUGUCUAAAUAGCAAAUGGGAACACCGUUUGGCCGUUUUUCUUCGUCCCAAAUACAACCUCUCUGUUCACAUGAAACCUUAUCGA